AGCUGACAUGGCCAUGGAGUGAUGCUGUGGUCCCCAGAGAAACUCACAAGUUCAAUGCCUGCUAAUUUGCUUGGCUACCAGAGAGCAUUCAUUGUGCAGUAGUUGCAGGAGGUCAGUGCAGUGCGUCGCCCAGGCUCUGCCCAUGGGAGCUGCUGCCUUCUCUGUCCCAGUUACAGAGUGCCUGUCAAGUAACGUAGGAGUACCCAGGUAAUCAAAUAGGCACAGGUCUCAACAGAACCUAAAAGUCUUCAUUUGGAGCUCCACCGUGAACUCUGGAGAGGUGAAACUAACUGUGUGAAGUCAUUUUUAUUAUUUAACAGAAUUGAACUACUCCGUAAUUAGUAAUUAUCUUCUUUAUAUGCUUUCCAUAUCAAGAUUUCAAAGGUCUUGGGAAAAUGUAAACUGAAUCUUAAAAACAGAAAUUUAUAUUUAAGAUCUUGAGUUUUCAUUUAGCUUCCUGGACAGAAAGCUGCUCCUGUGUGAUAUUCUGAACGCAGGAAGCUGACUUCUGCAUACCAGCCUGCUUCACUGUACGGCAUCUACUUUAGAAGACAGUCUUCAAG
Molecule: long non-coding RNA, 563 nt
Filed under: Numida meleagris (helmeted guineafowl)
Lineage: Eukaryota; Metazoa; Chordata; Aves; Galliformes; Numididae
Description: lncRNA (ENSNMEG00000018485.1)
Source: RNAcentral